CCUAAGAGAUACGUGUUAUGUGCAGUGCUCACACAGAUUGUCUGAUGAAGAACGAGCAGAGAUACCGGUAUAGGCUUGUAGCUCAGGUGGUUAGAGCGCACCCCUGAUAAGGGUGAGGUCGGUGGUUCAAGUCCACUCAGGCCUACCACUUUUCCUUUAUGCUGUGUUGUGAAGCAACUCGUUUACAUUAAGUAAACUUCGUUACUCCACGCCUUGCCUAAAGAAAAAGCUUCUUAUUAUAAGAAGAAAAAGGAGUGGUUAUACGGGUAUUAAAAUAUUAUGGGGCUAUAGCUCAGCUGGGAGAGCGCCUGCCUUGCACGCAGGAGGUCAGCGGUUCGAUCCCGCUUAGCUCCACCAUAAUCUCUUGAAUAUAAAACAAUGAUUCAGAGUAUAUUAGGAAUAGUAUACUGUGAAUUAUUAUGCUCUUUAGCAAUCUGGAACAAGCUGAAAAAUUGAAAACAAAUCAAUAUAUCAGCGAGGUAUAUUGGUGAGUCUCUCAAAAUCUCAAACCUUAAAGUUUGUCACGCAAAGUUUAUCUUUGAAAAAGACACUUUCGGGUUGUGA
Molecule: unclassified non-coding RNA, 564 nt
Filed under: Proteus mirabilis
Lineage: Bacteria; Pseudomonadati; Pseudomonadota; Gammaproteobacteria; Enterobacterales; Morganellaceae
Description: partial 16S-23S ribosomal RNA intergenic spacer
Rfam family: tRNA (bases 282-354)
Source: RNAcentral